UCAUAGAAUCAAGCUUGGCUUGUCGUUGGGCCCUGUGUCACCUGGUGACAGGCCUCAAAGAUAAUGACCGGUGUCAUGAAGACUCUGUAUGCAACGAGCUUGUAACAGCACGCAUCUGGUAGUCAAAUGGCCCGGUUCUCCCUCCUAUUUCUCAA
RNAcentral lists this unclassified non-coding RNA (155 nucleotides) under uncultured Herpotrichiellaceae. RNAcentral describes it as "sequence contains ITS2". Lineage: Eukaryota; Fungi; Ascomycota; Eurotiomycetes; Chaetothyriales; Herpotrichiellaceae. The record is from RNAcentral.